GGUUAAGCGACUAAGCGUACACGGUGGAUGCCCUGGCAGUCAGAGGCGAUGAAGGACGUGCUAAUCUGCGAUAAGCGUCGGUGAGGUGAUAUGAACCGUUAUAACCGGCGAUUUCCGAAUGGGGAAACCCAGUGUGUUUCGACACACUAUCAUUAACUGAAUCCAUAGGUUAAUGAGGCGAACCGGGGGAACUGAAACAUCUAAGUACCCCGAGGAAAAGAAAUCAACCGAGAUUCCCCCAGUAGCGGCGAGCGAACGGGGAGGAGCCCAGAGCCUGAAUCAGUGUGUGUGUUAGUGGAAGCGUCUGGAAAGGCGCGCGAUACAGGGUGACAGCCCCGUACACAAAAAUGCACAUAUUGUGAGCUCGAUGAGUAGGGCGGGACACGUGGUAUCCUGUCUGAAUAUGGGGGGACCAUCCUCCAAGGCUAAAUACUCCUGACUGACCGAUAGUGAACCAGUACCGUGAGGGAAAGGCGAAAAGAACCCCGGCGAGGGGAGUGAAAAAGAACCUGAAACCGUGUACGUACAAGCAGUGGGAGCCUCUUUAUGGGGUGACUGCGUACCUUUUGUAUAAUGGGUCAGCGACUUAUAUUCUGUAGCAAGGUUAACCGAAUAGGGGAGCCGAAGGGAAACCGAGUCUUAACUGGGCGUUAAGUUGCAGGGUAUAGACCCGAAACCCGGUGAUCUAGCCAUGGGCAGGUUGAAGGUUGGGUAACACUAACUGGAGGACCGAACCGACUAAUGUUGAAAAAUUAGCGGAUGACUUGUGGCUGGGGGUGAAAGGCCAAUCAAACCGGGAGAUAGCUGGUUCUCCCCGAAAGCUAUUUAGGUAGCGCCUCGUGAAUUCAUCUCCGGGGGUAGAGCACUGUUUCGGCAAGGGGGUCAUCCCGACUUACCAACCCGAUGCAAACUGCGAAUACCGGAGAAUGUUAUCACGGGAGACACACGGCGGGUGCUAACGUCCGUCGUGAAGAGGGAAACAACCCAGACCGCCAGCUAAGGUCCCAAAGUCAUGGUUAAGUGGGAAACGAUGUGGGAAGGCCCAGACAGCCAGGAUGUUGGCUUAGAAGCAGCCAUCAUUUAAAGAAAGCGUAAUAGCUCACUGGUCGAGUCGGCCUGCGCGGAAGAUGUAACGGGGCUAAACCAUGCACCGAAGCUGCGGCAGCGACACUAUGUGUUGUUGGGUAGGGGAGCGUUCUGUAAGCCUGUGAAGGUGGCCUGUGAGGGUUGCUGGAGGUAUCAGAAGUGCGAAUGCUGACAUAAGUAACGAUAAAGCGGGUGAAAAGCCCGCUCGCCGGAAGACCAAGGGUUCCUGUCCAACGUUAAUCGGGGCAGGGUGAGUCGACCCCUAAGGCGAGGCCGAAAGGCGUAGUCGAUGGGAAACAGGUUAAUAUUCCUGUACUUGGUGUUACUGCGAAGGGGGGACGGAGAAGGCUAUGUUGGCCGGGCGACGGUUGUCCCGGUUUAAGCGUGUAGGCUGGUUUUCCAGGCAAAUCCGGAAAACCAAGGCUGAGGCGUGAUGACGAGGCACUACGGUGCUGAAGCGACAAAUGCCCUGCUUCCAGGAAAAGCCUCUAAGCAUCAGGUAACAUCAAAUCGUACCCCAAACCGACACAGGUGGUCAGGUAGAGAAUACCAAGGCGCUUGAGAGAACUCGGGUGAAGGAACUAGGCAAAAUGGUGCCGUAACUUCGGGAGAAGGCACGCUGAUAUGUAGGUGAAGCGACUUGCUCGUGGAGCUGAAAUCAGUCGAAGAUACCAGCUGGCUGCAACUGUUUAUUAAAAACACAGCACUGUGCAAACACGAAAGUGGACGUAUACGGUGUGACGCCUGCCCGGUGCCGGAAGGUUAAUUGAUGGGGUUAGCGGUAACGCGAAGCUCUUGAUCGAAGCCCCGGUAAACGGCGGCCGUAACUAUAACGGUCCUAAGGUAGCGAAAUUCCUUGUCGGGUAAGUUCCGACCUGCACGAAUGGCGUAAUGAUGGCCAGGCUGUCUCCACCCGAGACUCAGUGAAAUUGAACUCGCUGUGAAGAUGCAGUGUACCCGCGGCAAGACGGAAAGACCCCGUGAACCUUUACUAUAGCUUGACACUGAACAUUGAGCCUUGAUGUGUAGGAUAGGUGGGAGGCUUUGAAGUGUGGACGCCAGUCUGCAUGGAGCCGACCUUGAAAUACCACCCUUUAAUGUUUGAUGUUCUAACGUUGGCCCGUAAUCCGGGUUGCGGACAGUGUCUGGUGGGUAGUUUGACUGGGGCGGUCUCCUCCUAAAGAGUAACGGAGGAGCACGAAGGUUGGCUAAUCCUGGUCGGACAUCAGGAGGUUAGUGCAAUGGCAUAAGCCAGCUUGACUGCGAGCGUGACGGCGCGAGCAGGUGCGAAAGCAGGUCAUAGUGAUCCGGUGGUUCUGAAUGGAAGGGCCAUCGCUCAACGGAUAAAAGGUACUCCGGGGAUAACAGGCUGAUACCGCCCAAGAGUUCAUAUCGACGGCGGUGUUUGGCACCUCGAUGUCGGCUCAUCACAUCCUGGGGCUGAAGUAGGUCCCAAGGGUAUGGCUGUUCGCCAUUUAAAGUGGUACGCGAGCUGGGUUUAGAACGUCGUGAGACAGUUCGGUCCCUAUCUGCCGUGGGCGCUGGAGAACUGAGGGGGGCUGCUCCUAGUACGAGAGGACCGGAGUGGACGCAUCACUGGUGUUCGGGUUGUCAUGCCAAUGGCACUGCCCGGUAGCUAAAUGCGGAAGAGAUAAGUGCUGAAAGCAUCUAAGCACGAAACUUGCCCCGAGAUGAGUUCUCCCUGACUCCUUGAGAGUCCUGAAGGAACGUUGAAGACGACGACGUUGAUAGGCCGGGUGUGUAAGCGCAGCGAUGCGUUGAGCUAA
RNAcentral lists this ribosomal RNA (2873 nucleotides) under Escherichia coli. RNAcentral's name for it is "partial 23S ribosomal RNA". It matches the Rfam family "Bacterial large subunit ribosomal RNA". The record is from RNAcentral. Lineage: Bacteria; Pseudomonadati; Pseudomonadota; Gammaproteobacteria; Enterobacterales; Enterobacteriaceae.